ACUAGAGCAAUUCGAAAUGCA
Molecule: small nuclear RNA, 21 nt
Filed under: Arabidopsis thaliana (thale cress)
Lineage: Eukaryota; Viridiplantae; Streptophyta; Magnoliopsida; Brassicales; Brassicaceae
Description: snRNA_17526
Source: RNAcentral